Molecule: ribosomal RNA, 432 nt
Filed under: Triticum aestivum (bread wheat)
Lineage: Eukaryota; Viridiplantae; Streptophyta; Magnoliopsida; Poales; Poaceae
Description: partial small subunit ribosomal RNA
Source: RNAcentral
AUGUCGCUUCUCCCUGCCGCCUCCUCUCCUCACCACGACUCGCCCUCGGCAUCCUCUCCCCACCACGGCUCGCCCCGCAGCCUCCACCUCCGAUACGACCUCACGCUGCCACCAACGCUUCCGGUCUCCCCUGUAUCGACACUGCCGCCGGUGUCCAACCUCAGCGAUGACGCCAGCCUGCCCGACGUAGCUCCUGGCCGCGGCGGCCUAGAACGCCGAGGUAUAGAAGCCUGCUCCGGCUGCCAAGCUGCCGCCCAACCUGCUCUGGGGGUUCCAUAUGAUACAAGACUCAAAGGUCUAGAUGAUGACAGAGGAACCAAAGGUCUAACACAGGAUGCUUCAAAGUCUCAUUUUAAAAGGUCAACAGGUCAUGCAAAGGAUAAAGGGGUUCAGCUACCGCAGCAAGUAACAGAUGAAUCGGUGUUGUCCUAA